AGAUUGAACGCUGGCGGCAUGCCUAACACAUGCAAGUCGAACGGGAGUAGCAAUACUCUAGUGGCGGACGGGUGAGGAAUACGUAGGAAUUUGCCCUUAAGUGGGGGAUAACCCGGGGAAACCCGGAUUAAUACCGCAUGACCUCGAAAGAGCAAAGUGGGGGAUCGCAAGACCUCACGCUUUUGGAGAAGCCUACGUCGGAUUAGCUAGUUGGUGAGGUAAUGGCUCACCAAGGCGACGAUCCGUAACUGGUCUGAGAGGAUGAUCAGUCACACCGGAACUGAGACACGGUCCGGACUCCUACGGGAGCAGCAGUGGGAAUAUUGGACAAGUGGGCGCAAGCCUGAUCCAGCAAUGACCGCGUGUGUGAAGAAGGCCUUCGGUUGUAAAGCUACUUUAAGGUUAGGAAGAAAAACGUCGACUACUAACACGAGUAGAGUCGUUAGACGGUACCGAC
RNAcentral lists this ribosomal RNA (457 nucleotides) under uncultured soil bacterium. Its description in RNAcentral is "bacterial SSU rRNA". It matches the Rfam family "Bacterial small subunit ribosomal RNA", at positions 26 to 482 of the family's 1533-position model. The record is from RNAcentral.